GCUCUUCUAGUAUACUAAUUACAAUUGACUUCCAAUCUCUAAAAUCCGGUAACAGCCCGGAGAAGAGCA
RNAcentral lists this transfer RNA (69 nucleotides) under Tetrastes sewerzowi (Chinese grouse). Its description in RNAcentral is "tRNA-Gly". The record is from RNAcentral. Lineage: Eukaryota; Metazoa; Chordata; Aves; Galliformes; Phasianidae.